CGUGCGCGGCUCGGCGCGCCGAGGCAGGCUCCGGCUGAGACUCCCAGACUGAGCAACAGCCGGACCCCGGGAGGGAUCGCACGGGGAAAGACAGCUCCGGGAAUCCUCAGAUCGAGAGGCUGCAGAGGGCCCGAGGAGAGGCCAGAGGGACAGAGCAGGGAGAAACGCGUGAGCUGCAUAGAUUCCUAAAGGAAGGUGGACACAGAGGCCUCUUUACAGACCCUAGUCCAAACUAGGCCUGGCUGGUUGGGGCAUCGGACUUAGACACCUACAGUUACUGGUGUCCCAGGACUUAAGAGAACGCUUCCUGGAGCUUUCUGUCACUUCUCCCAAAGGACUCAGAGCUGAGGACCCACAGCAGGUUCAAGAUUCCUGAUCCUCAACUGCUUUAGUCAUCGCCCCGGUGUUCUGAAGUCUUCUCAGUGGAAGUUCUUUUGAUGGUGUAACUUCAUUCCAUUCUUUUAAAAUCUGAUAUUAGAUAGGAACGUCUGGAAUUAAACUAUGGACCAUGGUGUUAGUUUGAAGGAGCGAAGGUGAGAGUAGGGACGUGGUCCUAGAAUCUUAGAACCUGUUUUCAUUCCCCGUUCCCAGAAUUCCUUAGCAGAUCCUAAACUGUUCUGCUCUUACCCGCCCCACUGGAAUUUCCAUGAUGGAAAUUGAUGGAGCCGGGUAUCUCGAUGCCGAGAAGUGGGAAGUGCCAAGAGUUCAGCGCCAGGCUAGCUCUUUUAACACCCAGGAGAAAACCAGGCACUAUGGGUAAAGGUGGACACCCACUGACUUCCCUUCACAAGGAUGUUCUUACCUUGACAAUGCAGAAAGAAGUCCAUCUCGGUACUGAUGGAGGAACUCCCUCCUCCACAGCCUGAGAUCUCAUGCCCAUGACUGAUGGAUGCACUGGAUUUUUUGAGGUGGAUCUUGAGAGUGUGGGGCUCUCCUGGCUGGAAGAGCACUGGGCUCUAGGAACUAGGAGCAGCAGUAUGGGGUAAGGGGUAGCACCAACUUCAGAGGCGGACCUCCUGGCAGAGGACAGAGCAAGCAUUGUCCAACCAGGAGGUUGCUGCAGCUGGGUUGCUGCAGCUGGGCGGGAACAGAAUUCUCUUGCAAACUUUGUUUUGUGGGGGCGAGAAGGCACGUCCCCUUCCCUUGUAGCCCUGGGGGGGUUAAUGGUUGCUGAGAAACGGAGCUUAUUUGUCAAUUGUUUCCCAGAUGCAGAUGUGGAGCUUGGUCUCUUCCUUAGAGUAUAUGCUUGGAGCUAGUGAGGCACUUAACACUUCACUGCCUUGGAUUCCAGAGUGGUGCCUGGUUCUGUGGAGAAACUGCAGCAGUGUGCCUAGCCCAGAAUCAAGUCUGUCAUGUCCUUUUUGCAUUCUGCCAGCUGAGGUGGGCAGGUAGGUAGGCAGUGAGGACUGACUAGUCUUUGCAGAUAUGAGGUGCCAUACAUGGUUAUGUACAUGUGGUCAUGAUACAUGGCCUUGCUUCUUUAGAGGGCACUCCUGGAACAGACUCGACCAUCUUUCUCUUCUUUGUGUCUGUUUCCCCUUUGCCAGAUGCUGGCUGCUCGCAGCUGGAAGGCCAGGGACUGACUGGCUUCUGAGGUAAAGCCUGGGAAGCCUUUUGCACUGAAAAGCUCCCACAGCACAGCCACACAUGGAUCCCAACCCAGUUCUGCCAGUUUUGGCUUUGGUCAGGCAAUGGAGAGUCAAUCCAGCACAGCCAGGGAUACAGACACAUUUUCUCAACAAAAAGCAAAAAACCCCAAUCAAACCAACCAAACCAAACCAAACCCUAGAGAAGCAGCUGCCUUGAUGGCCAGUAGCCAGUGUUGCAUCACAUCAUCCCUAUCUUGGACACAAGUCCCUCAGAUGUGUUCCAGUUCCCCGUGAUGCUAGAGGUUGCCUAUCCUAACCCAUUUUCGUUUUCAGUGAUGACCAGCUUUGGGUAACUACCUUAAAUCUGAAGUAUCUCAUGAAGUCUCUUUUUUUUUUUUUGGAGCUGGGGACCGAACCCAGGGCCUUGCACUUCCUAGGUAAGCGCUCUACCACUGAGCUAAAUCCCCAGCCCCAUGAAGUGGUUUCUGUAUCAGUGCCCCAUAGCAACUUGGUCUCAUGGACCACAAGGAGGCACAGCCUGCAGUGUUGACACUAGGCAGAAACCUCGGGGUUGGAGCAAGUUAACUAGGACAGCAAGCCGUGGGCUUCAUGUACAGAGGUCCAUUUCCAUCCGCUGUUGAUGAGCCUGCCCCCCUGCCGUACAACAGCUCCUACCCUGCUGUGCACAACUGAAGGAGUGGAGAUGGGGAGAGGAGAGGCGAGGUAUUCAGAAGGGAGGAGAGAACAAUAAAAGCACAGUAAGUACCUGAAAAAAACUGCAACAUUAACCAUCAACUUUAAAGACUGGAUUUAUUUGGAGAAAAACAAAAAACCCUCAACCCAAAGGAUGGGAUUUUACAUCUCAAGACAUCUCCCAAGUAAUGUCUACAGAUUACAAAUCAUUUUCAUAGAAGAUAUUUUUGUACAAAUUUUACAUGUAUUCAGGAGCGGGACAUAAGUCAACCCCUGUUCUUAUUUUAACAGAGGAAAGUAGGAGAGUGGGACAAAACAGCUGUCUUUUGGAUGCAACUAUCUGGAAGGGAAAUAGACAUGAAGAGGGCAAACUACCUUCUCACUGUCUACAACAAUGGUUUAAAAACCCAUUCAACCUGGGUAUCUCUGCAAAAGCCCUCCUAGCUACUAGCCAAUCAAAUCCACCGAAGAAAUUUGCUGUGCCUACUGCUGCAGCACGUGACGUCAAUGCUCCUGCACAGCAGGCCUAGGAACUUGUGCUAAAACCAAGGUCUCAUCUGUCUGCAGGUACCUGACUACCCACAACAGGGAAGCUUGCCAUCCUCGGAGCUGAGCUACAAAGGUGCACAUCAAGACAGGCUACAGCGCUGCACGAGGAACUCGGACCCUGGCCAACAGUUCUUUGCAUCCUCCUUUACUCUGGAGGGGAGUAAAGACGCCAGCCCUCCUAGGCAGAAAAGCAGUGACAACUCAAGCACCGGUGUGGGGUUCAGUGAAGGAAACUUAUAGACAGAAACCUUUAAACACUCGAAGGCUGAAGGCUCCAACUCACCCCGUCUACACCCCAUUCCCCACCCAAGCCCAUCAGUCAGGGAUGACAGCAGCAGAUAGGGCAGGAAUCAAAAGAUAAAGAAAGCACAGAGCUGGUCUGCCUGGAAAAGCAGUGAGUCCUCAGGCCCUGCUCUUGUGGCCAAGAUACAAUGUCUGUGGAGGUGUGUGACUCAGAGACAGCUCUGGGAGUCUAAGUGUCAUGGAGAACAUGAGAUGGCCAGAGUGACAAGGUUUUCAAAGAAUGUGGAUAUGCUCAAACCUCUAGAGAGGACAGUUUAGAAGGGGCAAAACCAGGACACACAAGACUAGAACUUCCCACGACCUGUAAGUGCUUCCUCAUCCAGAAACGACCACUCUAUUCAUGUAGUUACUGGAGGUCACACCAUUUCCCUUACUACCUGGUAUAAAAUAUAAUCGAUCACCUCCCCAAAGCUUUUCAAACCACGAUUGAAUUUCCCAUUCAUUUUGGUCCCCAAGCGGUGCUACUGUUAGUGGCCUGUAGACUCACUCCCAACUACCCCCUUGGGGGGUAAAAAAAAAAACAAAACAAAAAACAAUUCUCCCUAGGCUGGCCCCACUGAAGUCAGAACUAAAGUAGAGGGGUUGGCAGCCUCCUGGAGACUAAAACAGCUUGAGAGACUAGAGCUACCUAAGGAUGGGAAGUUUGUUCAGGUAAUGUGUGGGGGUUCACAGGUGCCACCUUAGGAUAAGAAUUAGAAGGUGGAAAUCUCACUUCUCCCUGCGUUCUCUACUGCCUAACUGGUGUGACUGCCUCUCUGUCACUGCAUUUCUGCUGAAUGGAGCCCCAGGCACUAUUCACACAGGUAACUGCUUGGUAUCAUCAGACACAACUUCCCUGUUCAGAAGCGGUAGCCGCAUCUCUGGCUACAAUGGUGAUUCUCCAGUUACUCCAAUACUUUAAAAGGCUGCAGCAGCAUGCAAAAGAAUUUCAUUUCAUUAAAAAAAAAGUUUAGAAAGGUCUUCAGGAGAUGGUGAGUUUAUUUUGUCUUGUCUGGAUAGAGGUUUGAUUUGCUCUUGAAUGUUCCAGGGUGGAGACAAGGAGAAAGCACAGGUGUGGAGGUCUACUCAGUGCAGUCGUCUCCCUCAUCCUCAUCCUCACCGUCCACAGACAGAGCAGCGUACUUGCUUGCAGAACUGAACUUCUGUGACAGAGGAGAGAGGACAAGGUCAUGGACAGAGUCCAAGAUUCUCCUACCCAAACCUAAAAACACAACAUCGAUGUCAUGGCACAUCCAUUCUUCUGGGAGAGCAUGUUCUGGUACAGCGGUCAGGGAGGGUCAGGGGCACGAGUGAACUCAGCCACACAUCUCCUCCUUAUGGGAGCCGAGAAAGGUGGUUUCAACAACAAAUGCCGACCUUAGCUUUUCUCACUGAUCUGAACAGUACCGAUGCCUCACUUCCACUGAAGAAAAGGGAGUCAGACACAGAACUGAGCAGCAGAGGCGUGUGCACGGUACUUACAGAGGCUCGGUUCUCCUCAGAUUUCUUUGGCUCAGGUGCAGAUCUGGAGUCUUGAUCUUUUUUGCCGUCCUUCCUGCAGAGACACAAGCAUCCUAUUCAACACUGUGGCCAGGACAAUGCAUCACUUUAGCUCCACAAAUCUAACCGGGACUCUAGCUUGUUCAGAGGUAGACCUGGAGUACUUGAGAAAGCCCAGAACCACUUCAUAAAGAUCCCCGCAUCUGAUACCAGAUUCAUAAACGUUAUUUUAACCCCUUGUACCGGCUGGUUUUGUGUGUCAACCUGAUACAAGUUGGGGUUCUCACAGAGAAAGGAGUCUCCUUUGAGGAAAUGCCUCCAUGAGACCCAGCUGUAAGGCAUUUUCUCAAUUAGUGAUGAAGGGGGAGGACCCAGCCCAUUGUGGGUUGUGAUGUGAGUGGUCUUGGGUUCUAUUAAAGAGAGAAAGCUGAGCAAGCCUGGGGAAGCAAGCCAGUAAGUAACAUCCCUCCAUGGCCUCUGCAUCAGCUUCCAGACCGGCUUGAGUUCCAGUCCUGACUUCCUUUGGUGAUGAACAGCAAUGUGGAAGUGUAAGCUGAAUAAACCCUUUCCUCCCCAA
Non-coding RNA from Rattus norvegicus (Norway rat), 5190 nucleotides. Lineage: Eukaryota; Metazoa; Chordata; Mammalia; Rodentia; Muridae. The record is from RefSeq and is a predicted model, not a curated record.